Molecule: long non-coding RNA, 4464 nt
Filed under: Mus musculus (house mouse)
Lineage: Eukaryota; Metazoa; Chordata; Mammalia; Rodentia; Muridae
Description: long non-coding RNA chr5:29214819-29219283
Source: RNAcentral
UACAGUUGUGGCCGUAUGAUUUGGGCUCACAUAUCCAAACUUAGCUCUGUUUUGGAUUGGGGGAGGACCCCUUAGGCUUGCUGCUUGGGGUGCCUGUGAGAUCUCAAAGUGAAGUGCUUCCUGUCCUGAACUAAGGAGCAAAUAGUACUACAAUAAGCUGCAAGGUACAGAAGGAAAGGACAGAGAAAAAGAGUAAGGUUCAGCAGACAGCUAGUAGAGAGGUGAGAGAACACCAUGUCUGGAAUGCCCUCUUAUAUCUCAUGCUCCCAGAAGGGAAUGACCAGGUGUGGGUGUGGGAGGCCCCUUGGUCCCCAGCGUGGACAUGUCAAGAGAGCCUCCCAGAGGAGAGAGUAGUGUGCUUAUCAUUAAGAGGUCUUGGAGCUAUGAGAUGGGAACAGCUGUAGCUAAUGACAAUUAUGUGAGGGAUAUGAAUACUGUAUUCCAGAUGACAGGACCCAGCCAUGAAAUGAAAGGGAUAUAAAUACUAUAUUCCAGAUGACAGGACUCAGCCAUGAAAUGGAAACACAGAAAAAAAAUUUUAAAUACAAAUUUUUCCCUUUUCUCUGGCCUUUUAAGUUGUUGUGAAUUAAUGUUUAGGGUAACUUUAUAAGUUAUUAGCAUGAGCUUAUCACUCACCUUUAACUGUAUGCUGUCUGUUUAAGUAGUGAUUUGAUGCCUAAAUCCACAUGUGGAUGUACAGAGUUAAUAGUUUCUUGCUCUACACACAUGCCCAUCACUUCUCAGCAGAACAGCUGCAGCGCUAAAGGAGCUGCCUGCUUAGCUAUACUGCAAUUCCAGUAUUCUAUCUUUUACCAAGUCUUGCUCUGCACUGCCACAUAUGUUGAGUCUUGUGUGACACUGCUCCUGAGAACAUGUGAACCCCAGAAAGGAAACCAACGACAAAGUCACAGUACCAACUUGGUGAACAAUGAGUUUAUCGAACUUAUAGAAAAGAGGAUGGAUGACUCAAAGGCAUAUACAGCAUGAAGGUAGUUCAGUGAAUCACAGGUCUCAGCAAUCUUUAACAUUUAUAUAAUCUUUGUGGAAGGGGCCUUGGCAAGUGCUCAAUUUUAGGGACUUCCUGAGUCUUGAUUAGCCUCUCUCCGGGAUAGAAUUUCUACAUAGCACUGGGAUCAAUGGUGACCACCUUCUCCUAGGGAAAGGGCCCCAGCUACCCUGGCCACCUUCACCUUCUCAGUGGGAGUGUCUCACAGAAAUCACAAAUGGAGAUGGUGUUGGCAGGCUCCAUCAUCUUAUUAGAACUGAGAAGGAAAAGUGAAUGAAUACAAAGGACAAAAGAAACAGCUUGACACAGCAAAGGAAAAGGAUUUUCCAGAUCUGAAAGCUAAACUUGAGUCAUCUCAUCAAAGGCCCUCAAUAUGACAUAAGGAGAGUCAGUGUUCCACUUAGUAAGUGCUGUGGAUGACCUCGGGCUGAGAAUUUCAAGGUACUGAAAGGAAGACCACCUGCACCACACAGAUAGAUGUCUCAGAGGUUCAGCAGAAGCCAGAAGACUGGGCAUUAGGGUGGGGUUGGGGGGAUAGCCUAGAAUUCUGUGUGAAACAAAUGAGAAGCAUGUGUAAGAACAGAGGCUAAGUGCAAAAAUGAGUGGAUAAGGAGGUAAUGAAUUUGACAGAGUGGAGAGAGGUGUAAGGGGUUAUUUAGUGGGAGGAUGGGAAGGGAGAAAUGUUGUACUUCUCUAAUCUCAGAAAGAGAUAAAAGGAGAAAACUCUCAAAGCAUGAAGAAAUAGAACAAAAUGCAAAUAACACCUCUGCAUAAGUCUAGUUAGUUAGGGUCUUCAAUAUGGAACAUCAAAAUCCUAGUGUGGCUUGCAGUACUUGGUCUGCUCUGGCCUGUGACUUCAGCCCUAGGUUUCUCCAUCUUUCAAUGUCACAGGUUCUUCUGCAUCAACUCUCACCAUUCUUAACUUCCUUAGAAUACCAUGCCACCAUAUCUUUGUUGGUUCUUGUGUUUAGAAUUCACUUUCUUUGGCUUCAUCCUCUCCCUGAUCUCUUCUAAAAUUGACCUUUAAAUUUGUAGCAGUAUCCUUCAGUGUAUUACUUGUGUCAUCACCUCCUCAGGAUGAAAUCCUCUGAAAGUUUCAAAUGCCCAUAACAUCUACUGUUACUGCACAGUGUUCGUGUCUCACAAAUUGCAAUUGUAUAUUAUUGGUGAUCUGUGUAAUUUCCCAGAAGGAAAAGGCUGUAGAUUUCCUGAGCCAUGUAUCUUUUUUGUAUAAUAAACAAGCUCAAGAACUCACUCACACAGUGGAUUCUCAUAUAUCUUUAAACAUGUAUCUUUAAAUAAUUGUGUACUCAGCUAUAUCUAAGAUGAAAAUUGUGAAUGUUGUUUAUUUUGCAAACCAAUACUUUCAGAUAUACUAUGCAACUGUAUAAUUACUAAGCCAUACCCUGAGUUUUUCCUGGCUGUUUGAAAUAAAAAUAUGAAGAAAAAAAAAAGAGGCCAAGAGAGACAUGAGUUCAGGUGGACAAUGUUAUUGACUCUAAAGGUCUUCUUGAGAGGAGCACUGAAGCUUGUAUUCCCUAAAGAAAGAAAGUAGCCCAAAUGGGGAGUCUGCGGUGUAAGUGGUUAAGCAGGUGUGAGAAGGUUGUCUCAUAGGCAUUGAAUCUGCCAAAACAAGAAUAACGCUGUGCCCCUAACAAGUUAAGACAGAGAACUCUAGUGUUUGCAAACCUGGCCCAGAAGAGGCUAGUUGAGUGCAAGCAUGCAAAGAUCCUCAUGUUGGCUCAGAGGAUGGAGAUGCUGCCUGACUUUGGGCUGUGAUAACUUAAGCAUGCAUCUAUAGGGUGAGAGCUAAAAGAAUAGAAUUAAAUUGGGUAGGGUAGAAAGUAGGGGAUGGUAGUCAGGGAUGAUGGGAGGAGGAGGCAAUGAAUCACUUAUAAAUGGCACCCAUGCAGGACCUGAAGCCUAAAUUCGAGGAGGGUGAGUGAGUGCUGUGCUUUCAUGGGCCUCUUCUUUAUGAAGCAAAGUGUGUAAAGGACAAACAAGUGAAGUACUUUAUCCAUUACAAUGGUUGGAAUAAAAAUUGGGAUGAAUGGGUGCCAGAAAGCAGAGUACUCAAAUACAUGGAUGCCAAUUUGCAGAAACAUCAAGAACUGCAACAGAAAAAUGUUGAAGUGAAAACAAAAAAGAACAAGGAGAAAACACUUGGAAAUGGAGUUGGUGGCAGUGCCAGUGAGACACCUCAGCCUCCUAGGAAGGAGAGAGCCUGGGUAGAUCCUAUCAUUUCUAUGAAAAUGAAGAAACAUUCAUGAGCAGAGCUGAAGUUAAAGUGAAGAUUCCUGAAGAGCUGAAACCGUGGCCUGCGGAUGACUGGGGCUUGAUAACCAGACAAAAGCAGCAUUUUAUCUUCCUGCCAAGAAGAGUGUGGGUUCACAGAUGAUAAGGAGUAUGCUGUUCAUGAGGCUGUGGCAGGAAUGAAGGAGUACUUCAGUGUAGUGUUAGGCACUCAGCUACUCUACUAUUUUGAGAGCCCACAGUAUGCUGAAAUUCUCACCAAUCACCCAGAUGCACCCAUGUCCCAGGAGUAUGGAGCGCCACAUUUACUGAGAUUAUUUGUGUGAAUUGGAGUGAUGUUGGCCUAAACACCUGUAGAUGAGAAAAGCCUUGCUUUAUUACUGAACUAUCUACAUGAUUCCCUCAAGUACCUGGUGAAGAAUUCUGCAACUGUGUUCCGUGCCAGUGAUUAUGAAGUGGCUCCUCCUGAGUACCAUCAGAAAGCUGUGUGAGGGGUGUGCUCUCUCUCUUCUCUCUCUCUCUCCCCUCUCUCUCUCUCUCUCUCUCUCUCUCUCUCUCUCUCUCUCUCUCUCUCGUUUGGAUCUCUGUAAAGAGUCUGGUUCUUAGUCGUUCUCUUGUACAAAUGAUGGACUUUGAAGACCAUUGGUGUAUAAUAGAGUUAGUGUUUGUUUCCUGUUUGAUUUUAAAAAGAAAAUAAAAGGAGUAACCGCUUUUUUUUUUUCAUUUCAAAGUUUCUACCAGUGUAUCAGUGAUGGAUAACAGAGAGACAUGCUAUAGAGUGUUUGCCUAGUUGACAAAGCUACUUUUGAAUGCUGGUGGUUCUGUUCCUUUGGCACUAUGCACUUUUAUAAUUUGUGUUAAUGCUCUAUGACAAAUGUUCUGAUUCCUAGUGCCAAAGGUUCACUUCAGUGAAUAUAACUGAACACUCAUCCAUCUGUGCCCGCCCCCUUUUUAAACAGUGCUUGAGUAGCCCAUCCUUUGCAAGUCAUCCAUGUCCUUCCUUGGGCAUCCUAUUUUUGCAUGUUAUCUGGGCAUCUUAUCUUCGUUAAAGAAUAGUGGCUUAUUUUCCUGGGGUUUUGUAUUUGUGUCUAAUGCACGUUCUAACUUGAUAGAUGCAAUGCAUCGUAUAGCUACAGUUUUAUGGGAAAGUCAAUCUUGGAGGAGUUGUUUUUCAGAUCUUCAAUAAAUUUUUCUUUAAAUUUCAG